RNAcentral lists this long non-coding RNA (437 nucleotides) under Homo sapiens (human). RNAcentral describes it as "HSALNT0269042". The record is from RNAcentral. Lineage: Eukaryota; Metazoa; Chordata; Mammalia; Primates; Hominidae.
CAAACAAACAAACAAAGUAAAAUAGCAAAGGUGCAAAAGCCUGCCAAGAAUGGAAUGGAUGAGUAAGCUGUGGCAUCUCCUUGCAGUGGUCAGUAUACAGUGACAAGAACGGAUGAUCUACAAUCAUAGAGCAACAUGGAGAAACUUCGCAAACAUAAUGCAGAGCAAAAGACGCCAGACACAAAAGACUGUGUUCCGUAUGACUCCACUCAUGCAAAUGACAAAAAUGGGUAGCACUAGCCUAUGCUGCUGGAAGUCAGGAUGGCGUGUGCGCUGCUGCUGGUGGUGGGCAAACAGCAAGCAGCAGGUGCUCAAUUAAUGUCUGGGGAGAAAAGGAAGUAAGAAAAGGAAGGAAAGAAGGAAUGAGGAUGGCCAGGCGGGGUGGCUCACGCCUGUAAACCAGCACUUUGGGAGGUCGAGGUGGGCAGAUCACGAGG